RNAcentral lists this ribosomal RNA (612 nucleotides) under uncultured bacterium. RNAcentral describes it as "bacterial SSU rRNA". It matches the Rfam family "Bacterial small subunit ribosomal RNA", at positions 842 to 1454 of the family's 1533-position model. The record is from RNAcentral.
AGUGGCGCAGCUAACGCACUAAGUUGACCGCCUGGGGAGUACGGCCGCAAGGUUAAAACUCAAAUGAAUUGACGGGGGCCCGCACAAGCGGUGGAGCAUGUGGUUUAAUUCGACGCAACGCGAAGAACCUUACCUGGCCUUGACAUGCAGAGAACUUUCCAGAGAUGGAUUGGUGCCUUCGGGAACUCUGACACAGGUGCUGCAUGGCCGUCGUCAGCUCGUGUCGUGAGAUGUUGGGUUAAGUCCCGUAACGAGCGCAACCCCUAUCCCUAGUUGCUAGCAGUUCGGCUGAGAACUCUAGGGAGACUGCCGGUGACAAGCCGGAGGAAGGUGGGGAUGACGUCAGGUCAUCAUGGCCCUUACGGCCAGGGCUACACACGUGCUACAAUGGUGCGUACAGAGGGCUGCAAACCCGCGAGGGGGAGCUAAUCUCACAAAACGCAUCGUAGUCCGGAUCGGAGUCUGCAACUCGACUCCGUGAAGUCGGAAUCGCUAGUAAUCGCGAAUCAGAAUGUCGCGGUGAAUACGUUCCCGGGCCUUGUACACACCGCCCGUCACACCAUGGGAGUGGAUUGCACCAGAAGUGGUUAGUCUAACCUUCGGGAGGACGAU